RNAcentral lists this ribosomal RNA (468 nucleotides) under uncultured bacterium. Its description in RNAcentral is "partial 16S ribosomal RNA". It matches the Rfam family "Bacterial small subunit ribosomal RNA", at positions 28 to 507 of the family's 1533-position model. The record is from RNAcentral.
GACGAACGCUGGCGGCGUGCUUAACACAUGCAAGUCGAACGGAAAGGCCCUGCUUUUGUGGGGUGCUCGAUUGGCGAACGGGUGAGUAACACGUGAGUAACCUGCCCUUGACUUUGGGAUAACUUCAGGAAACUGGGGCUAAUACCGGAUAGGAGCUCCUGCUGCAUGGUGGGGGUUGGAAAGUUUCGGCGGUUGGGGAUGGACUCGCGGCUUAUCAGCUUGUUGGUGGGGUAGUGGCUUACCAAGGCUUUGACGGGUAGCCGGCCUGAGAGGGUGACCGGCCACAUGGGGACUGAGAUACGGCCCAGACUCCUACGGGAGGCAGCAGUGGGGAAUAUUGCACAAUGGGCGGAAGCCUGAUGCAGCAACGCCGCGUGCGGGAUGACGGCCUUCGGGUUGUAAACCGCUUUCGCAUGUGACGAAGCGUGAGUGACGGUAAUGGGUAAAGAAGCACCGGCUAACUACGUG